CCCUUAGACGUUCUGGGCCGCACGCGCGCUACACUGACGGAGCCAGCGAGUAUAAACCUUGGUCGAGAGGUCUGGGAAAUCUUGUGAAACUCCGUCGUGCUGGGGAUAGAGCAUUGUAAUUAUUGCUCUUCAACGAGGAAUUCCUAGUAAGCGCAAGUCAUCAGCUUGCGUUGAUUACGUCCCUGCCCUUUGUACACACCGCCCGUCGCUACUACCGAUUGAAUGGCUUAGUGAGGCUUCCGGAUUGGUUUAGAGAAGGGGGCAACUCCAUCUUGGAACCGAGAAGCUAGUCAAACUUGGUCAUUUAGAGGAAGUAAAAGUCGUAACA
This 328-nucleotide ribosomal RNA is filed under the name uncultured eukaryote. RNAcentral's name for it is "partial 18S ribosomal RNA". It matches the Rfam family "Eukaryotic small subunit ribosomal RNA", at positions 1470 to 1796 of the family's 1831-position model. The record is from RNAcentral.